RNAcentral lists this small RNA (431 nucleotides) under uncultured bacterium. Its description in RNAcentral is "bacterial SSU rRNA". The stretch from base 1 to 291 matches the Rfam family "Bacterial small subunit ribosomal RNA", at positions 65 to 358 of the family's 1533-position model. The record is from RNAcentral.
AACAGGAAGAAGCUUGCUUCUUUGCUGACGAGUGGCGGACGGGUGAGUAGUGUCUGGGAAACUGCCUGAUGGAGGGGGAUAACUACUGGAAACGGUAGCUAAUACCGCAUAACGUCGCAAGACCAAAAAGGGGGACCUUCGGGCCUCUUGCCAUCGGAUGUGCCCAGAUGGGAUUAGCUAGUAGGUGGGGUAACGGCCCACCUAGGCGACGAUCCCUAGCUGGUCUGAGAGGAUGACCAGCCACACUGAAACUGGGACACGGUCCAGACUCCUACGGGAGGCAGCAGUGGGACUCCUACGGGAGGCAGCAGUGGGACUCCUACGGGAGGCGGCCCUGGUUGCCCUUGCUGUUCGCUGGCCUGGCGUUGUGGCCCGAGAGACUCCUACGGGAGGCAGCAGUGGAUAUUCUAGAAAUCUCCUACAAAUCUCAG